UACGUAGGUGACCAGCGUUGUCCGGAUUUACUGGGCGUAAAGAGCGCGCAGGCGGUCGUUCAAGUCGAGUGUGAAAGCCCCCGGCUCAACUGGGGAGGGUCACUCGAUACUGAUCGACUUGAAGGCAGGAGAGGGAAGCGGAAUUCCCGGUGUAGUGGUGAAAUGCGUAGAUAUCGGGAGGAACACCAGUGGCGAAGGCGGCUUACUGGACACAUAUUGACGCUGAGGUGCGAAAGCGUGGGGAGCAAACAGG
RNAcentral lists this ribosomal RNA (253 nucleotides) under uncultured bacterium. RNAcentral describes it as "partial 16S ribosomal RNA". It matches the Rfam family "Bacterial small subunit ribosomal RNA", at positions 524 to 776 of the family's 1533-position model. The record is from RNAcentral.